CUCCUUCUUAAAAAGGGGUUCGGUUCCCCCGUAAGGGGGGGGUCCCUCACUCCUUUGGUCGGACUCCUUCGGGGUCCGCCCCGCGGGGGCGG
RNAcentral lists this transfer RNA (92 nucleotides) under Saccharomyces cerevisiae (brewer's yeast). Its description in RNAcentral is "tRNA-Thr". The record is from RNAcentral. Lineage: Eukaryota; Fungi; Ascomycota; Saccharomycetes; Saccharomycetales; Saccharomycetaceae.